Molecule: long non-coding RNA, 1386 nt
Filed under: Marmota monax (woodchuck)
Lineage: Eukaryota; Metazoa; Chordata; Mammalia; Rodentia; Sciuridae
Source: RNAcentral
UCUUAUCAGAAAGUUGGGUGCUAGGGUAGCAGGCAGGUGGCAAGUCUCAUUCUGCCUUAUUGGCUUCUACAGUGUUUAACUGGUAUAUCUGCAAAAAUCUCAGAGUCUUGCUGAUUGGCUCACAGACAUACUUUUUCUCUUCCAACAUAAUAUUAGGAGCAGAGGUUUUAUCAUGUCCUCUGCUGCUUACUCAGUUUACAUGUAGUCAGAAGCAACAUUAAUUCCAUUUUAAGGGAGCUGUUUGACAGAGGACAUUCUCAACUGGAUAAAAAGUUGGUGAUCUAUUUGUGAUCAACACCUAUCUUUUUUGAGCAGUUUCAUAACACAUAAGCUAUAUUUACCUUUGAAUUAUACUUAAACCCAACAUAUUUUGUACUUUUUUUGUUUUUCUUUUUUUUUCUUAUUGGUUGUUAAUAUUUUGUACUUUUUAGAUUGGUAAUGUAGUCAAAUAGUUCAGUCAUAAAAUGGAAUGAAAUAUCUGUUGUUCAUCUUGUCUUCAUCCUUCCCUUUCCUUCCCUUCCUUACCCUUCCUCAACAAUUCAGUCCUAAAAUCAGCAGAUUUUAGGAAGGAGGAUGGAUGUCAUUAUCAAAAGAGGGGAGAGAGAUGUUUACCUCACAGGGUGAGAAAGGCAUUCAUACUGGGAAAAUGGCUUAUUGUAGGGAGUCAGAGCCUAAGAAUUAUAAUGAGGGCUUUCCAGGUAGGGAAUAGCCAAGUGAAGGAAACUGGAAUUCUAUCUGAUUGAAGAGGGCGUUCACCUGGACGUAGUACAUGGCACACUGGAGCAGGAUUUAAGACUCUGUAUGUGUACAGAUUGAGUAUACUUUAUCCAUGAUGUUUGGGACCAGAAGUGUUUUUAAUUUAAGAAUGAAAAUCUCCCACCAGUGGCAUAUGAUAUUUCUGUUUACUGACAUACAAAUAAGCACAGAAUCUUCUCAGUCAUUUUAACCUUUUCUAAUAGGUUAAGGAAGGGUUUCUUUUUUUCUCGCUAUUCUUUUGUUUUUUAUAUUUCUUCCAUUGCUAGUUUCCAUUUUUUUAUUAUUCCUUGAUGUUUCCCUUGCUAUGAAUUUGCUAUUCUUAAUCUUUAUCCAUUUUAUUAUUUAAUUGUGAGUUAUUCAAAUGUUAGGAAUAUUAACCUGAAUCUGUAAUAUAUGUUAUAAAUAUUGUAUUUUAUAUGUUUUAAUGUCAUUAAGAUAUUGUUUCACUUAAAGCAUUUGUAAUAUUCCAUAAGGAAUUUUCUGAUUGCAAAAAUAACACAUGGUUAUAGCAAAAAGAAAGAAAAAGAAAUUAUAAGCACACAAAUAGUGAAUAAUGUUUCAAAACUGCAGUGUGGUGGCAUCUUUUCCUUUUCUUUUUUCCAAUUUAUAAAUAUUUUAUUGACAUCUUCC